UACGUAGGGUGCGAGCGUUGUCCGGAAUUAUUGGGCGUAAAGAGCUCGUAGGCGGUGUGUCGCGUCGGCCGUGAAAACCUGCAGCUUAACUGUGGGCUUGCGGUCGAUACGGGCAUCACUGGAGUUCGGCAGGGGAGACUGGAAUUCCUGGUGUAGCGGUGAAAUGCGCAGAUAUCUGGAGGAACACCGGUGGCGAAGGCGGCAUCCUGGACCGACACUGACACUGAGGAGCGAAAGCCAGGGGAGCAAACGGG
Molecule: ribosomal RNA, 254 nt
Filed under: uncultured bacterium
Lineage: Bacteria
Description: partial 16S ribosomal RNA
Rfam family: Bacterial small subunit ribosomal RNA
Source: RNAcentral